UGCGUAGAUUAUGGCAAACACCGUGUGGCGAAGGCGGCUCUCUGGUCUGCCACUGACGCUGAGGCUCGAAAGCAUGGUGAGCAAACAGGAUUAGAUACCCUGGUAGUCCAUGCCCUAAACGAUGAGUGAUAAGUGUCAUCAGGCUUCUUAUGAUCUGUGCUAAAGCUAACGCAUUAAGCACUCCGCCUGGGGAGUACGACCGCAAGGUUGAAACUCAAAGGAAUUGACGGGGGCCCGCACAAGCGGUGGAGCAUGUGGUUUAAUUCGAAGCAACGCGAAGAACCUUACCAGGUCUUGACAUCUUUUGGAAAGCUUAAAAAUAAGGCUUUCCCUUUCGGGAACAAAAGACAGGGGGGGCAUGUGUGUCGCCACCUCGUGUCGUGAGAUGUUGGGUUAAAUCCCCCAACGAGCGCACCCCUUGUUAUUAUUUGCCACCAUUUAGUUGGGCACUCUAUAGAGACUGCGGGGGACAAACCGGAGAAAGGGGGGGAUAACAUCAAAUCUUCUUGCCCCUUAUAACAUGGGGAAAA
Molecule: ribosomal RNA, 530 nt
Filed under: uncultured Bacillus sp.
Lineage: Bacteria; Bacillati; Bacillota; Bacilli; Caryophanales; Bacillaceae
Description: bacterial SSU rRNA
Rfam family: Bacterial small subunit ribosomal RNA
Source: RNAcentral